GACCUCCAACAUACAGUAGGAGAGUAGGAUGGGACUCCUAUAUAAAGACUCCUCUCACCUCCACUCCUCACUCACUCUCCUUAUACUCUGUACUGACUCAGAUCUGUGGCUCACAAUGCAGCUAGCACUCAUACUCACCCUCUGCUGCUUUACCAGCAUCCUGUCAUUACCAGAUAAUGAAGACAAGGGAUCAGGAGUAGAUCCAAUUAUCACACAGGAACAAGGCAACACCUUUAUGGCACGUGACCAAGGCGAUACCUCUGGAAACUAUUUUGCAGACCAAGGCUCAUCCACAGAUAAUCAUGGAGAGCAAGACCAAUUUGCUGCUUAUUUUCAUGAUAACCAAGGCCAAUUUUCUGGAUCUCCAGUAUAGGAACAAUGGGGUUUAGGGAUAUAGAGGGAAGAUUGGUUCUGGGGAGUAUUUGUUUAAAAAUGUAACAAUUUGGUUUUUAAUAACCUGGAUUUCCAGUAUAGGACUAAUAGGGUCUGGGGAUAUAAAGAGAAGAAGGAUUCUGGGGGGCCGGAGACUAUUUGUAUAACAAUGUAUCAGUUUGUUUUCUAAUAAAGAAAGAAACCUACACUUAUCUGCAUAAGGUUUAUUUGUAACAAAGGGCCUGAUUUGAAGUUGGGAAUGCACUGCAGUUGGAGCAGAUAUAAAUUGUGCAGAAAGAUUUAGAUGUAACAAGGGGCGUGCCAAAACUCAGAUCUAAAUUACAGUGUAAUAAUAUAGCUGCCCAACACUUGUGGACUACACACAUAAGCAGCCAGUAUUUACAUAUUACCUAGCAAGCUGCAAAAAAUCAGGGUACUACUGUGGUAUUUGUCAGUGAAUUUAUACACCCCCAACCUGCUGCAAAAUAAUCUUGUUCAAACUUAUUUCUUACUUCUGAUGAAGCUAGGUGACCGUGCCUAGGGAAACGCGUUAAGUGACAAGCUGCCACCAACAUAUGCAUUCCAUCCUGUGAGGAUCCAGAUAUGGACUUUAAACACAAAUAUUCCUGCCUUAGAAAUUUCCCUGUGGGACUGCAUCAUUACAGCACUGAUUGGAGUUAAUCAGCCUCUGCAUAAAACAUCUCAGCUUGCCUGCUGUUAUUUUCCAAGCUCUUGGAGGACUCCAUCACCAUGGGUAACACCAGCUGUAUUUAAACAACACUGGGGGUCAUUCCGAGUUGUUCGCUCGGUAAAAAUCUUCGCAUCGCAGCGAUUUUCCGCUUAAUGCGCAUGCGCAAUGUCCGCACUGCGACUGCGCCAAGUAAAUUUGCUAUGCACUUAGUAAUUUUACUCACGGCUUUUUCAUCGGUCUGGCGAUCGUAAUGUGAUUGACAGGAAAUGGGUGUUACUGGGCGGAAACAGGCCGUUUUAUGGGCGUGUGGGAAAAAACGCUACCGUUUCUGGAAAAAACGCAGGAGUGGCCGGAGAAACGGAGGAGUGUCUGGGCGAACGCUGGGAGUGUUUGUGACGUCAAACCAGGAACGACAAGCACUGAACUGAUCGCAGAUGCCGAGUAAGUCUGAAGCUACUCAGAAACUGCUACGAGGUGUGUAAUCGCAAUAUUGCGAAUACAUCAUUCGCAAUUUUAAGAUGCUAAGAUUCACUCCCAGUAGGCGGCGGCUUAGCGUGAGCAACUCUGCUAAAAUCGCCUUGCGAGCGAACAACUCGGAAUGACCUCCACUGUUCCCCAGGGAACUUUAUUUCUCAGUCCGGGAUCACAUGUGGAUGCAUACUAGCAGCUAUUCUUAUUUUGAUCCUCAGCUUCAAUCUAUGCCCAAUCUUAUUUGUUUUUAAGUGACAUUUUAACUGUUUAGUGAAUAAAUUAUUUACUUGUUCAAUUCA
Molecule: long non-coding RNA, 1833 nt
Organism: Pseudophryne corroboree (corroboree frog)
Lineage: Eukaryota; Metazoa; Chordata; Amphibia; Anura; Myobatrachidae
Exons: 2
Source: RefSeq, a predicted model, not a curated record